AGAUGAGAGAAACACCCCGUCCGCAGGCAACUGCGGGCGGCUCCGGGACGGAGCCUCCCCAGCCUCGUCCUGGUCGUGCCCUCGCGCACACCACCGGAGCUUCCGGCUCCGGAUCUCCUCACCGAUCGGA
Streptomyces sp. CB03234 is the source of this 130-nucleotide small RNA. It matches the Rfam family "Streptomyces RNA 5676". Rfam says of the family: Identified by deep sequencing of transcriptome at the end of exponential growth phase. Appears longer on northern blot than sequencing transcript. NCBI's taxonomy places the organism in Bacteria, Bacillati, Actinomycetota, Actinomycetes, Kitasatosporales, Streptomycetaceae. The record is from Rfam.